RNAcentral lists this ribosomal RNA (511 nucleotides) under uncultured bacterium. RNAcentral describes it as "partial 16S ribosomal RNA". The record is from RNAcentral.
GGAGUUAGCCGGUGCUUCUUCUGCGAGUAACGUCACAGAUGUAAGGUAUUAACUUACACCCUUUCCUCCUCGCUGAAAGUGCUUUACAACCCGAAGGCCUUCUUCACACACGCGGCAUGGCUGCAUCAGGGUUUCCCCCAUUGUGCAAUAUUCCCCACUGCUGCCUCCCGUAGGAGUCUGGGCCGUGUCUCAGUCCCAGUGUGGCUGAUCAUCCUCUCAGACCAGCUAGGGAUCGUCGCCUAGGUGAGCCUUUACCUCACCUACUAGCUAAUCCCACCUGGGCUUAUCCAUCAGCGCAAGGCCCGAAGGUCCCCUGCUUUCCCCCGUAGGGCGUAUGCGGUAUUAGCAGUCGUUUCCAACUGUUAUCCCCCACAAAUGGGCAAAUUCCCAGGCAUUACUCACCCGUCCGCCGCUCGUCAUCUUCAAAAGCAAGCUUUUGAAAUGUUACCGCUCGACUUGCAUGUGUUAGUCCUGCCGCCAGCGUUCAAUCUGAGCCAGGAUCAAACUCUGA